GCCUUAGUAGCUCAGCGUU
Molecule: transfer RNA, 19 nt
Filed under: Trichogaster chuna (honey gourami)
Lineage: Eukaryota; Metazoa; Chordata; Actinopteri; Anabantiformes; Osphronemidae
Description: partial tRNA-Thr
Source: RNAcentral